UCCCAGGAACUUCACUUGCUCAUCUCUCAACCUGAGUCAGGUUUUUCUGCCUGGUGACUCCUGACGCGCCCACAGUUCUCCCUGUCACACCAGUGGUUCCUAGAGAAGCCAAUCAGAGUCCUCGCCGCGAUUCCUGGUAACAAAAGCUGCAUACACCCGCAGGAACUCGGAUUUUCCCGUCUAUGGGGUGUGAGUCAUGGAGUUCAGAACCCUGUUCUUGCUGCUUUGGGGGCCUCUAACCCUGACUCAAAUCUGGGCGAGGUCCCACUCCCUGCGUUAUUUCCACACUGCCGUUUCCCGACCUGGCCACGAAGAGGCUUUUUACACCUCGGUGGGCUAUGUGGACGACACUCUGUUCCUGCGCUUCCACAGCGACGCCCUGAAUCCGAGGGUGGAGCCGCGCGCGCAGUGGAUGGAGUAUGAGACACUAGCAUUUUGGGAAGCGCAAACCAAGAUCGCCGAGGCCCACCAGCAGAAAUUGCGCUGGAACCUGCGCUCCACCCUCCGCUACCUCAACCAGAGCGAGGACGGCUCUCACACCUUCCAGUGGAUUUCUGGCUGUGACCUUGGGCCAAAUGGAAGCCUUCUUCAUGGACAUGAAGAGUUUGCCUAUGAUGGUGCGGAUUACAUCUCCCUGAAUGAGAACCUGCGCUCUUGGACCUCAUGGAACAAGGCUGCUCAGAUCACCCAGCGCAAAUGGGAGGAUUCAGGAGAUGCAGAGCACUACAGGGCCUACCUGCAGGAGGAGUGCCUGGAGUGGCUCCGCAGAUUCCUGGAGAAAGGGAAGGACAAGUUGCUGCACACAGAGUCUCCAAAGACACAUGUGACCCGUCACUUCAGCCCUGAAGGAGAUGUCACCCUGAGGUGCUGGGCCUUGGGAUUCUACCCUAAGGAGAUCACCCUGACUUGGCAGAGGGAUGGGGAGGACCAGAUUCAGAACAUGGAGCUUGUGGAGACCAGGCCUGCAGGGGAUGGAACCUUCCAGAAGUGGGCAGCUGUGGUGGUGCCUGCUGGGGAAGAGCAGAGAUACACAUGCCAUGUGCAACAUGAGGGGCUGCCUGAACCCCUCACCCUGAGAUGGGGUAAGGAGGGGUUGAGGGCACAGAGCCUGUUGGCAGGAAAAGCAGGAGCCCUUCUGAAAACCCUCAGUAGGGUCAGGGCUGAGAGCCAGGGGUCAGGGUCCCUCACCUACCUUACCUUCCCUUCCCAGAGUCACCUGCUGUGUCCAUCAUCCCUGUCAUGGGAAUUGUUGCUGGCCUGGUUCUUUUUGUAGUUGUGGUCACUGGAGCUGCGGUGGCUGUUAUGAGGUGGUGGCGGAAUGCAGUCAACGUCAGUGCCUGGCACUCCAAUAUUCUGUAGCUCCAUAAAGUUGAGACUCUGGAGGGCUUCAAAUGGUAGAAGGUGUGAUAGAGGAGAAUGGAGAAGGUUGUGGGAAUUCUCUUGGAUCUUGGGUGAGUGCUGGGUUCUUCAGAAUGUUGCCACUUAAAGCAACUGCCCUGAUUCUGUUCAUCACACUUUUGUUCCAUAGCAGAGACAGCUGCCUUGUGUGGGACUGAGCAACACAAGAUUUUUCAAGCCUUUGUGACUAGAAGAACCCUGGAGUCCCUUUCUGUCAUGGAUUAUUAAGCCAUCCACAUUCCUAUUGGCAUAAUGUGCAGAAGUGAGACCAGUGCAUAGGACCCAUGUCCUGCACUGUCCCUUGCCCACUCACCUUUCACCUUUUCUCUGUUCUAGCAGAGUUCAGGCUGGGAUGACUCCUUCCCUCUCUCAACAUCACUGUGCACUGAGCCACAACUUCUUACUUCCAUCCUGAAUAUAAGAAUCAGAAUAUAAAUAUUUUUCAAAAUCUUGAUCCAAUGGAUAGAUUGGUUAAUAAACAGAGAAAAUUCCAAAUUAGAGAGAGGAAAUAAGUGGAAAUACUGAGAACCUUCUAGAAUGUGUUUUCAUUGUCCUGAGUCAGCGACAGCUAAAGACAGAAGAAGGCUGUGAGGAGCCCAGUGUGGACAGGGCUGUAUCCAGUUAGUGCUCAGGCCAUGCUGGGCUUUCAUGUGGUCCCUCUUUAGCUUGGUCAUCUUCUGUAUUCCCUUGUCCUUGUCACUCGGGAGAACGUUGUCCCACCAGGACUUGUGAUCACUGGGACACAGACAUCACCAGAGCCUUUUGCUGUCAGCCAGACCCUAGGCAUCAAUGGCUUCCUGUGGCCAGAUCAGGCUGUCCCCCUUCAUCCUUUGUAUUUCCUGUCCCUUAGUUUCUAUGGAGGAUUAUAUAUAUGUUUGUUCUCCCUCCUCCUGAGGUAGCUGGCUUGAUGAGGGGUGCCGUAGCCUUUUGAAGACUUCAUGACAGUGGCAGCUACAUGGAGACACCUUGCAGGCUGAGGCCAGGUUCCUCAGGAGGCUGCACGUGCUCUGAACUAGUGUCUGACAUGUGGCACUGUUUCCCCCACAGCCAGGAUUCAUGGGUCCAGGAAUCAAGAAAUGGGAAUGGGUGUGGCAACUCUUACUAUGGCCCCCAGUGACCCACUAGCAAUGUAUGUGCUUCCUGUCCCCAUGACCUUAUGCCCUGCUGGCCUGGAGAUCUUAGUUUCACAGAAGAAAUGCUUCCAUCAAGAGACAACAAUGAGUUCACUGAAUUGGAAAGGACAACUGUCACUGGCCAUGUUGGGCUCUUCUUGCUUUGAGUCAAGAGCCCAAGAGUGGAGUUAGCUGGUGGGUCUGAGUGAUGGAUCCUGGCAGCCAGGGGGACAUGGGACAGCUGCUCCCCAUGGAGGGAAGGAAGAGAAUGUCUGGAAUAUAGGAUUCCCUUAGGGUGCCUCUUAGUGUUACAUCCCCUGUGAUUAAUGUCCAUGGGAAACUACAUCAGCCCAACCCAGGCAGAACUAAGCGUGGCCAGGACCCUUCAGGAAUGAAGGUUGGCAUCACCACAGCAGGAGAAAUGCCACAGGCAGCUGAACUACUUGGUGAAUUGAAGGGAAUACGGAAUGGGAGGUGGAAGAAGAUAGUUAUGAGUACCAGCAGCAACACAUGACCAUUUUCAGAGGAGAGGACUGUAAUUUUCAUUUGCAUAUCUUCUUUAUUUUAUUAUGAAUAUGUUUGUGGUAUGUAUUUAUUAAUCACAUAUACUUAUUUUCUUGAAUCUCACCCUUUUAUAUAUAACAUAAAUAAUUUUGACUGUUUAUCAAAGUAUUAAGCAUUGUUAAGUGUAUAUCUUAGUGUUUUGAAUUUUGGUAUGUCUAUCAAGGGGAGGAGGAGAGGACAGCAUGGGUGUAGUUCAGUUGUAAGCAGAGAGUCUUAUCAUAUUAGGUGGAAGUAUAAUUUGUUAUUCUCUUUAUUUAGAUGUACAUUGUGAUUUAGGGAGAUUCUUCUGUGUGCCAAAUUGAUGACGGGGGAACUGGUGAUAGUUAAUUUUAUUUGUCAAAUUGGUUAGGGCCACUAUACUCAGUUAUUUGUCAAACAUAUCUCGAUGUUGUAAAGGCAUUUUGAGAUGAAAUCCACAUUAAAUCAGUAGUCUUGAGUAAAGCAGGACACCUUUCAAAAUGUGGUUGGGCUUCACUUAAUCAAUAGAAGACCUUAAGAAAAAGAUUGGCUCCCCCAAAGAAGAUGUAUUUUCUCAUCAUUGUUUUUGGACUGAAGUGUAACAUCAGCUCUUCCUGAGAUUCCAUCCUGCUAGUCUACCUUGAAUAUUUUCAAGUCAUUGCCUCCAAAAUUGCAUAUGACAAUUUCUUAAGGGAUCUCUUUCAACAGAUAGACAGAAAUACAUGUAGAUACAUAUCCUGUUAGUUCUGAUUCUCUGUAGAACCCUGACUACUACAAGCACAGUUUCCAAUGUUCUAACUACUAGAAAUGAAUGAUACAGAAAAGAAAAGGCAAUUUCACGGUUAUGGUUUGGAUCUGAAAUGUCCCCUGAGAAACUCAUGUACUGGAAACAUGAUAUCCAAUAUAGGAAUGUUCAGAAGUGAAAUGAUUAAAUUAUUACAUAAUCUCAAGAGUGGAUAAAUCCAUUGGAUGAAUUAAUAAUUUGAGUGAAUCACUGGGUAGUGCUUGACUAGAGAAAGUAGGCCAGUGGUGGUGUGUCCUUGGGGAUUACAUUUUGGCCGUGGCUCCUCACUCUCUGCUUUCUGGAUGCCAUGAGGGGAGAAGUUUUCCUCUGCCAUGUCCUUCCUCGUGAUGUUUCUGCCCUGGAGCCAUGCACUCAACCACUGAAACUUCAGUUUUGGUGUUGCUUUGGGAGAUUUCAUUGAAAAAAAGUCAGUUACCUUCCAGCUGUUAGACCCUUUGUAAACUAUGGACAGGUGACAUCCAAGCAGAAUCUGUUUUUGCCUGAGCAAUAAUGUUGUGGUUUCAAUGGGAUGUAGAUUUCUAGUCCACCCAGAAACCAGGAAAACUGGAAUUAAAUGUAGCAAUAUCUUCUCAUCAAGCAAUCUGAAGAACUUUUUAUUUGCCUAGGUACUGGGAAUGAUUUUAUUAGUUCUUUCUUUAAAAAAAAUUAUUCUUUAGUUGUAGGUGGACACAAUACCCUUAUUUAAUUUUUAUAUGGUGCUGAGGAUCAAAUUCAGAGCCUCACUCAUGCUAAGUGAGCACUUUUCCUCUGCGUCACAAUCCCAGCCCUUAUUUGUACUGUCUUGUAUGGCCUUGUGGCCUAAUACAAAUAAGCUGUCUUUCCAGGGAAGGAUGAUGUGCCCAAGGCUUGGAAUAUUUUAUUGUUUUCUUUUUAAGAUAUUCCUUUAUUAUUAUUAUUAUUUUAACAUUUGCAAUAUACGUACUUGUUUACAAAAUAUCUCCAAUGGCUUUAUGUAUAUGUGUAUAUAUUAUUUUUUACUGGCAAAAUAAAAACUUUAACAAACACUAAAAUAAAUCUGUUGCUGUGUACCAUAUGAUAGAUGAGAGAAUGAAGAGUUUAAACAAAACCUUCCAACAAUCUUCUCUCUAUAGCAGGACUAUUCAACCCAUUUUCCACAAUAUUACAUCAAAACUAUCAUUUACCCAAUUUUUCACUAAUCUUCAUGCAGGGGUUCUUUUUUUCUCCAACAAUAUCAAUAAUUAAUCUAAAUAUAAAUGAUACAGAUGUUGUAAUUAAGAGUAAUAAUUGUUCAACCUGUGUAAAAGCAAACAAUAACUAUAUGCUCUAUUCAUAUGUCAUCCUUUAAAUAUUAAUACACCAAUAGGUUAAAAGCAAAAGAAGGGUAAAAUAAGCACAAGAAAUCUGAAGAAGAGCUAUUAAUAUAAAAUAAAUGUCAAGAAAAAGUGUUUUCAGAGAUAAAGGGGAACACUUCAUAACCAUAAUAAGGUGACUUCUUCAAGAAAGUAUAACAAUCCUAAACAUGUAUGUACCUAAUAAUAAAAUUCCAAAAUACAUGAAGUAGAAAUUAAUAAAACUAUAAAGACAAAUCCACAAUCAUAUUUGGAGAUUUUAAGCCCCCUCACUUUGCUGGAAGGAAUAAUAAUAUUGAAGGCUUAACAACAUUACCAGCUACCUUGACCUGUUUGUUAUUUGUUACUUAUAGAGAACCACACACACAAAAAUGACAAGUAGAAAAUUAAUAGGGAUAGUCUAUACUCUGUCAUAAAAUAAAUUUUGAGAAAUUUUAAAAAUCUGAAAUCAUGAUUGUAUUAUUCACCAUUAAAGUGAAUUCUCAAUAAAAAAAAAAAAAACUUCCGUUUCAAUAAGUUGCAAUAUUAUUGAGAGUGGUGUAUGGUAGGCGAUGACAUAGACCCAAGACUUCGGUGCAAUCACAAUAGUUCCUUUAAAUGAUAAGUGUCUUUGUUUUUCCUAGGAAGUUUCACAUUUACUUUGUUAAGCAUGCCAAUUUUUAUACUCAAAAGUCAUCUUCAAAAAUACACACAGAUUGCUUUUCAGUUAGAAAACUGUGAAUUGUCCCACUGUUGUCAUGUAUUUAAAAAGUAAUAAAAUCAAUUAAAAAAAGAAAACUGUGAAUUGUCUAAAGUGUAUACUUCAGUCUAUCAUUAUGACAAUGUUGGUAGUCAGAAAUUGUUAGCUUGCAUCCAGAGACUAAUGUUUUUGUUUUUUUUUUUUUAAACUGGGUAUUUGGUCGGCUUCCUAUAAUGAAUUAAAUGUCCUUCACUAUGUUUUUGAAUGAAAUAUGGUAGAGGCUAUUUGGACACCAGUGUAAUUCUAAAACAAAAACCCCAUUAGGAUGUGCUUCUAAUGUUUUAUAAAGCAAUUCUAUACAGUGGUGGAUUUAUUCCAACGUGAAUAAUUCUUGCUAACAAUUCUUGCAAUAAACUUUGUUGCUUUGUUACCUUU
This is an RNA transcript of Marmota monax (woodchuck), 6261 nucleotides long. It is a transcript of the gene named saoe class I histocompatibility antigen, A alpha chain, with no coding region annotated. NCBI's taxonomy places the organism in Eukaryota, Metazoa, Chordata, Mammalia, Rodentia, Sciuridae. The record is from RefSeq and is a predicted model, not a curated record. The transcript is spliced from 5 exons.